CUUGAGUUUGAUCAUGGCUCAGAUUGAACGCUGGCGGCAGGCCUAACACAUGCAAGUCGAGCGGUAACAGGAAGGAAGCUUGCUUUCUUUGCUGACGAGCGGCGGACGGGUGAGUAAUGCCUGGGAAAUUGCCCUGAUGUGGGGGAUAACCAUUGGAAACGAUGGCUAAUACCGCAUGAUGCCUUCGGGCCAAAGAGGGGGACCUUCGGGCCUCUCGCGUCAGGAUAUGCCCAGGUGGGAUUAGCUAGUUGGUGAGGUAAUGGCUCACCAAGGCGACGAUCCCUAGCUGGUCUGAGAGGAUGAUCAGCCACACUGGAACUGAGACACGGUCCAGACUCCUACGGGAGGCAGCAGUGGGGAAUAUUGCACAAUGGGCGCAAGCCUGAUGCAGCCAUGCCGCGUGUAUGAAGAAGGCCUUCGGGUUGUAAAGUACUUUCAGUGGUGAGGAAGGGGGUGUGGUUAAUAGCCAUAUUCUUGACGUAGCCCCAGAGAGCCGU
This 497-nucleotide ribosomal RNA is filed under the name Vibrio sp. M2-C22. RNAcentral describes it as "bacterial SSU rRNA". It matches the Rfam family "Bacterial small subunit ribosomal RNA", at positions 1 to 493 of the family's 1533-position model. The record is from RNAcentral. Lineage: Bacteria; Pseudomonadati; Pseudomonadota; Gammaproteobacteria; Vibrionales; Vibrionaceae.